CCCAACCCAUUCGCAACCCCAUGGGGUCGUCUUCCUCCCCGUCGCCAUGAAGAACAGGGGCGACUUCGCCACGAAGAACAGAGGCGUCGCCCCUCUCUCCUCCAUCAAAUACCCCUAAAAUCGAGGUGUUUGCCCGCCAAAACUUGUGGAUUUGAGCCUCCCAACUUGUUGAGGAUGGCGGGGGUUAAUAGGUACCCUAGACUUGAUGGUUCUUAUGAAGCGAAGCAUCAUGCAAGGGCCAUCGAAAGAGGGCAGGAAAAGGGCAUAAAUAUGGGAGGAUAUCAUCAUAUACAAGGAAGUACGAAGUUUAGUGGAAGAGGCAUGUCAAUAGGAGGUGCAGUAGGCAAAACAGAGCGCAAGACAACACAUGGUACAAGCACACCAGCUCGUACCGCCACUCGUACGACAUAACACCAGCUUCAAAUGGUUCACCUGACCAGCUUCUAUAAAGAAGUUGACACCAAAAUAUCAACAGGGAGAGAACCAUUCACUGAACAGAG
Long non-coding RNA from Triticum aestivum (bread wheat), 500 nucleotides. RefSeq lists it as uncharacterized. NCBI's taxonomy places the organism in Eukaryota, Viridiplantae, Streptophyta, Magnoliopsida, Poales, Poaceae. The record is from RefSeq and is a predicted model, not a curated record. The transcript is spliced from 3 exons.